Molecule: RNA transcript, 1948 nt
Organism: Mus musculus (house mouse)
Lineage: Eukaryota; Metazoa; Chordata; Mammalia; Rodentia; Muridae
Gene: Ppp1r2-ps7
Gene name: protein phosphatase 1, regulatory (inhibitor) subunit 2, pseudogene 7
Exons: 1
Source: RefSeq, marked validated
GGUAGUGGUUUCAGGGACAGCAGGUGUGGCUGCUUCAGACUAGCUUUGGGCUCCGCAGCUGCCCGGAGGGUCUCUGCAGUGACCAACCCCUUCUUCUCCAGUACGCUACACCAGCCGGCUGUAACAACCAGCAAUGGCGGCCUGGAUGGCCUCUCAACGACCAAUCAAGGGAAUCCUGAAGAACAAGACCUCAGCGUCUUCCCCGGUAGUGGCCUCAGCUGAACAGCCCAGCCUGACCUUCAAAAAGCUGAAUAAGAAGUCCCAGACCUGGGAUGAAGCUAACAUCUUAUCAACUUAUCAUCCACCUGAGGAAGACUACGGACUGAUGAAAACAAGUGCGCCAAACACACUAUACCACAAUUCGAUGGCUUAUGAUAAAGAUGCUGCUAAUGCUUCAGAAUGCCAUGAAAUGUUGAAUCCAGAUUGCUUAGAGAAGAAACUCACUGUUGAUGAAGAUUCUGGGCCAAGCGAUAUGGAACUUGAAGAAGAAGGUGGUAGAGAGGAAGAAAAUUACCUCUCCCCUCAAGAAAAGAAGCGGCAGUUUGAAAUGAAAAGGAAGCUUCACAGCAACGAAGGACUAAAUAUUAAAUUAGCCAGACUGCUAAUUUCAAAAGACCUACAUGAUGAUGAUGACGAAGAUGAAGAAAUGUCAGAGGCUACAGACUUUGACAGCAUCAAUAUUGACUAGUCGAAUCAAGGAUCUACCGAAAGUGACCAUCUGCAACUGAAAUCACAAAGUUCAUAAAAGUAAUGUGUUCAGCCUAACAGUCAUUUGUCAAAUACAAACCUCGUUACUGUACUGUACUGCUUCUUGUUCUCUAUAAUUCGUGAUUUUCUUAACAAAAUACAUAUCAUUUAUAUAGUGUUAAGAAUUAAGACCAUAGAGCCUAAGUAAAUGGAAAAUGCCUAAUUAAUGCACAUAUUCUAGUGUCUCAUAGUUCAUCAUAAAUACAGUGUAAUGUCAGUAAUCCAAAACUACUUUCCUUUUGUAAGAGCACUGGUUAAUUUCUAUAAGAUAUUACAUAGCUUUUUAUGCUUUAAUUAAUAUAUUAAAUAACAUCAUGGAAGAAAUUAAUUUAUUUUUGUCACUUCUAGAUGGUGGUACUUCUUAUAAAAUGUUUGGGGUAGUUUCAUGCUUUUCUUCAUUUAAUCAAAAGCCUACUCAUACAAUGGGAUAUAUGGGUGGAUAAAUAUUUAGGUGGAAAGAGAUAUUUUCUUAACAUUUAUUUUUAGCUUGUUUGACUAAUUGAGAAAGCAUCUGAGCUGUUGUCUAAUCGAUAACCUUUAAAAGUCCUGUUCAUUUUCUUUGUGCUCAAAAGGAAAGGAAUGAAAAUGUUUUUCAUCCAAACUGGUUUCCCCCAUUCCCACCCACACUCAAAGAAAUGAUCAGGUUAAAGUUGCUCAGUUUGACACCUGCUAGUUCUAGUACUUAAGGGAAACAGACAUAGUAGUAGCCAAAUGAUCGCAGGAAGGAGAGCUAAGCAGCUUGGUAUCGGUACUCUGAUUGACAAUUUGGUCAGUAAAUGGCUGAUAUUCGUUUAUUUGACAUUAGACCUUAGAAAACAAUUAACUGAGGCAUUUUUGCACAAUGCAGGCAUUGUAUAUAAUCAGAAAACGAUUGUUUUGUACAGGCAGAACUAUACCUGAAUAUUUUUAAAUUUAAAGAUUCUGAAGAGUCUCUACAUAAAGGGAAUAUGAUACUGUACACUGUGAAGAAUGAACAUGAUCCCUCUAACAUGAUAGAAAUUAUUUAGAUUUUUCCCCCUGAAAUAACAUGUAGUUCCUGUCUGUCUUAGUUUAGUGAUUAUUUCCUUUGUAGACAUUUAUUUAUUUAUAUUGUAAGUUUUUAGUAGCACCAAAUGAGUUUGUUAUAUGACAGACUUUUAAAAUAACUUCUGUAUAUUAUAUAUAUGAAAUGGCUUUUAUUGAACAUAUAUCUUCCACUUUA